CCUACGGGGGGCUGCAGUGGGGAAUAUUGGACAAUGGGCGAAAGCCUGAUCCAGCCAUGCCGCGUGUGUGAAGAAGGCCUUCGGGUUGUAAAGCACUUUCAGUGGGGAAGAAAGCCUUGGGGCUAAUACCCUCGAGGAAGGACAUCACCCACAGAAGAAGCACCGGCUAACUCCGUGCCAGCAGCCGCGGUAAUACGGAGGGUGCGAGCGUUAAUCGGAAUUACUGGGCGUAAAGCGCGCGUAGGCGGUCUGAUAAGCCGGUUGUGAAAGCCCCGGGCUCAACCUGGGAACGGCAUCCGGAACUGUCAGGCUAGAGUGCAGGAGAGGAAGGUAGAAUUCCCGGUGUAGCGGUGAAAUGCGUAGAGAUCGGGAGGAAUACCAGUGGCGAAGGCGGCCUUCUGGACUGACACUGACGCUGAGGUGCGAAAGCGUGGGUAGCAAACAGGAUUACAUACCCCGGUAGUC
Molecule: ribosomal RNA, 465 nt
Filed under: Vreelandella stevensii
Lineage: Bacteria; Pseudomonadati; Pseudomonadota; Gammaproteobacteria; Oceanospirillales; Halomonadaceae
Description: partial 16S ribosomal RNA
Rfam family: Bacterial small subunit ribosomal RNA
Source: RNAcentral